RNAcentral lists this ribosomal RNA (253 nucleotides) under uncultured bacterium. RNAcentral describes it as "partial 16S ribosomal RNA". It matches the Rfam family "Bacterial small subunit ribosomal RNA", at positions 524 to 776 of the family's 1533-position model. The record is from RNAcentral.
UACAGAGGGGGCAAGCGUUGUUCGGAAUUACUGGGCGUAAAGGGCGCGUAGGCGGCCUGUUAAGUCGAACGUGAAAUCCCCGGGCUCAACCCGGGAACUGCGUCCGAUACUGGCAGGCUUGAAUCCGGGAGAGGGAUGCGGAAUUCCAGGUGUAGCGGUGAAAUGCGUAGAUAUCAGGAGGAACACCGGUGGCGAAGGCGGGUCUCUGGGCCGAUAUCGACGCUGAGGAGCGAAAGCGUGGGGAGCGAACAGG